This is a long non-coding RNA of Falco peregrinus (peregrine falcon), 1406 nucleotides long. RefSeq lists it as uncharacterized. NCBI's taxonomy places the organism in Eukaryota, Metazoa, Chordata, Aves, Falconiformes, Falconidae. The transcript is spliced from 3 exons. The record is from RefSeq and is a predicted model, not a curated record.
UUGUUCAGAUGAGAGCUAGAGGACAGCGUACUCCUGAUGAGCUCUAAUGGCACAAUUAUACUGAAUUUCCUGUUUCUUCAGGUUUUUUGAACGAUGUGGCUCCUACGUAGAAGGAAUUGCUAUAGAGGUACCACCUCUCCUUGCAGCAGUGAAGAGGAGAUGCUCAUUACUGAUGCAAAGGAAAAUUGAGACAGGAUCUUGGUUUCAACCAAUUGGUAACUGGACAAUCUGUAUUUCUCUAAAAUACAACAUUACAAAUCAGCGUAGUGCUUUGCAAGUUAGAAUGAUUCUGACUUUUCACAGUUUGGAGUUAAAUACAGACUUCAAGAUCUUCAUUUUGAAAACACUUAGCAGAAUGACAUCUAACUGAAGGGAGAUGGAAAGGACUCAGUUCCCAAUUAUAUUUCUCCUGUGGCUGACUUUCAAUAGAAAGGCUUUUCUUGUGAUGUCAGAGAAGGCACUGAUGCAAGAAGUACAAAGAAGUUCAGACCUGCAUGGUAUAAAAAGCUUUCAGAAAGCAGGUGGGAAAAAGAUAACGAACAAAACUUCAGUACAUAUGCAGAACUAAGUAUCUUAAAUGUUUUAAGGACUGUAGAUUGUGUGUUCUCCUAGAAAUAUUUCCUUCAGAGCAAAAAAAAGAUAAUCAUAUAAGCAAUGUGGUUUGUGGUAAAUACAUACUUCAAUUUUAGACAAGAAGCACAGAAAUAUGGAUGGAAAUUCUUUACUGGCAGAGUAACACUCAAUGUUGGUGAUGGUAAUAUGGUUCUACUGCUGAAGAUUUAUUGCUACAUUUGGUCAGCAUCCAUAAUCAACUUCAAGAUGCUUAGUUUAUGCUGUUAUGUCCAGAAAAUGUUAUAGUACAUGCAUGUAGCUUUGCUCAGGUAUUUUAUUAACUGAACUAUUCAGACUGGCAAAACACUUAAGUUAUUUGCUGGGUUGGAUGGAAUAACCUGCAGUAUACACAUAUUCUAGGUGCACAUUUUAAAAUAAUUUACUUUAAAAAAUUGUGUGACAUUCAUUCUUCUGUAUCUUGGAAAAUAUAUAUAGGUCUUAUUGUUUUAUGGUUUAUUUCCUUUUGUUUUUCUAGAUCUAUUUGUUUUAAAUUGUAAGUAACAUACAUAGAAAUUCUAAGGAGAAUAGCUCAAAAAGAAACACAAGUUUUACCAGUAAAAAAAUCAAUAUAACUGAAUCUAAUGUAUCAGUUAGUACAGAGAAAAUUGUUUUUUAGUGUAUCCAAAGCAAUUACUUUUUGGAAAGCUCAUGUUAUUUAAAAGCUUUGUGAAAGAAUGAGGUUUUAGCUUUAAGUAAGGAGUGAGUUUCCUGUGGAAAGUAAUAAAUUUUACCAGAAAUUUAAUUUUCUUGUUUUAAGGACAUGAGAAAUAAUAUAAAAUUUGACAAGUAUUUUA